Molecule: long non-coding RNA, 458 nt
Filed under: Capra hircus (goat)
Lineage: Eukaryota; Metazoa; Chordata; Mammalia; Artiodactyla; Bovidae
Description: lncRNA (ENSCHIG00000004802.1)
Source: RNAcentral
GGCAAACCGUUUCGGCAGAUGAGGACAUGUCUGAUAUGAACUGUCAGUUUUGAAUAAAUCAAAGUUAUGAAAUGAGGAGGAAAGGGAACACAUUAGUAAGCUGUUUUGGAGAAAAUAAGAUUAUCUUCAUCCUUUUCAAAUGGCAUCUUUAGCUUUCUUGGAGACAGUGGGGUUGAAGGUCACGACAGAAGACAGCGGAGAAAUGUGGACGGAAAUGGUGACUACAGUGGACCUCCUCACCAAUACCAGUGAUGUUUGUUGUGGCAGCUGAAAUACUGGGAUGUGAAAUGUUCCAUGGUGAUUCCUGCAAACUACAUCAUAAAUGUCAUGUUCCAACAAAAACACGGUCCAUCCACCUCUGGUCUUUGUGGAAGAGGUUCGUGACAAAGCUGAAAGUAUAUACCUAUCUCCCAUUUAAAUGAUGGGGAGAAAGAAAGACUUAUAGUCUUGGGAAAAGG